Molecule: ribosomal RNA, 465 nt
Filed under: uncultured bacterium
Lineage: Bacteria
Description: partial 16S ribosomal RNA
Rfam family: Bacterial small subunit ribosomal RNA
Source: RNAcentral
GACGAACGCUGGCGGCGUGCUUAACACAUGCAAGUCGAACGGAAAGGCCCUGCUUGCAGGGUACUCGAGUGGCGAACGGGUGAGUAACACGUGGGUGAUCUGCCCUGCACUUCGGGAUAAGCCUGGGAAACUGGUUCUAAUACCGGAUAGGAGCCAUCUUUAGUGUGUUGGUUGGAAAGUUUUUUCGGUGUAGGAUGAGCUCGCGGCCUAUCAGCUUGUUGGUGGGGUAAUGGCCUACCAAGGCGGCGACGGGUAGCCCGACUGAGAGGGUGGACGGCCACAUUGGUUCUGUGAUACGGACCAGAAUUCUACGGGAGGAAGCAGUGGGGAGUGUUGCGCAAUGGGCGCGAGGCUGAUGCAGCGAAGCCUCGUGGCGGAUGCUGGCCUUCGGGUUGUAAACUCCUUUCGCUAGGGACGAAGCGUUUUGUGAAGGUAACUAGAGAAGAAGCACCGGCUAAAUACGUG